CCUCCUUUUCUCUCUCUACCAACCAAGAGGGGAGAAGAAACCGAGAGGAGAAAAUUAAAAGAAUCUCCACCCUCCAAGAAGUCCAUCUCCAAUCCCCCUAUCUUUCUAGACUUUCUUCUUGAUGGCCCAGCUGGAUCAGGAGUAAUGUAAGGGAAGGAAAACCAAGACCAAAACCAAAAAAGAGAAGGGAUGAAAGAUACGA
This 202-nucleotide long non-coding RNA is filed under the name Phoenix dactylifera (date palm). RNAcentral's name for it is "long non-coding RNA (PDAC_LNC001065)". The record is from RNAcentral. Lineage: Eukaryota; Viridiplantae; Streptophyta; Magnoliopsida; Arecales; Arecaceae.